AUGGCGAAGCUCCCGCGUGCCACAGGGAGGGCUGCAAUGGCGGCCGCUUGUUCUAUAGACGACGAAGCAUCCGCCAACGCCGUCAUCACCGCCGCGUGCUGCGUCGCAGCAUUCCCGCCGCCAUCGUGCUGUGUCGCAGCAUACACUCGUCGCCGCCGCGCCGGUGAAGCUUCGCCGAGCCAUGAGGUGCUGCAAUUUCGACGGCGGAAGCCGGUGCCGCGAUGGAGCACCAAUCUGCGGUGGUGCCGUUGCAGUGAAGCUCCGCCGGCGGCGCUGUCGCGGUGCUACAAUGGAGCCCGCCGCCCGGUGAUGGCGCUGUGCAGUGAAGCUUCGCUGAGCCACGGGGUGCUGCGAUGGAGUUUGGACGGGGCCAGCCGGUGCCUCAGAGCAUCUUCAACAGGUGCGGCAAAAGACGCGCCCGCGCAGUAA
RNAcentral lists this ribosomal RNA (429 nucleotides) under Triticum aestivum (bread wheat). RNAcentral's name for it is "partial small subunit ribosomal RNA". Lineage: Eukaryota; Viridiplantae; Streptophyta; Magnoliopsida; Poales; Poaceae. The record is from RNAcentral.